Dermacentor andersoni is the source of this 2681-nucleotide non-coding RNA. Lineage: Eukaryota; Metazoa; Arthropoda; Arachnida; Ixodida; Ixodidae. The record is from RefSeq and is a predicted model, not a curated record.
UCCAUUUAGCUCCAGCUGUCCAACUUGUCCAGUCGCAUCAGGUCCAGCAAUACACGCAAAUUCGCAAAUGGCUUCGAGCGUCGCCUCUCGCAUCAUAUUUGUAACCGGCAACAAAGACAAGCUGCGAGAAGUAGUCGCUAUAUUGGGCAAGAUACCUGGUUUCGAAUUGGAUAACCGUGCAGUGGAGCUGGUGGAGCCCCAGGGUGAAAGCGACGCCGUCUGUCGGACCAAAUGUGAGGCUGCUGCACGCCUAGUGGGUGGCCCGGUGCUGGUAGAGGAUACAUCACUGUGCUUCAAUGCCCUGGGCGGCCUACCCGGACCCUACGUCAAGUGGUUCCUCGGCAAGAUCGGCUCUGAGGGACUCCAUCGCAUGCUGGCGGGCUUCGAGGACAAACAUGCAGAGGCGGUGUGCACGCUGGGCUUCAGCCCGGGUCCCGAGAAGCCGGUGCACUUGUUCCACGGCCGCACGCAGGGCACCAUAGUGGCACCCCGGGGCAGCAACAACUUUGGCUGGGACACGUGCUUCCAGCCCGAGGGGCACAGCCGCACCUACGCCGAGAUGAGCACGGCUGAGAAGAACGCCAUCUCGCACCGGCACAGGGCGGUGGAGGCGCUGCGCCAGUUCCUGCUCUCGCCGGACGCUGCCCGCGAGUGCGGCGGCAGCUUUUAACAUUUUCUAUGUCGGCCCUCUCAUCCUGGUGGCAGCAGUGCGUGCCUGACUUAGUGUAGUCGUUUAACGUGUCACAAGUCUGGUUCGACACGAGACCUACAAGGCGCCGACGCCAACCAUUGGCCGACUCUUCAUGACAGUGUAUCGCUGGGACCAUUUUAUGCCAGGCAGGCAACGACGCAACCAACACGUAUAUGCACUAUUUGCCUCUACGUCAAACGGGAAACAAGAGAUGGUGCAUUUGGUACAGCAACAGAAAGAACCUCCUCGCUCAGUUACCAAUGGUGUCAACAAUGGCAUACGUGUUCUUAUGUCCUUGUGAAAAGAGCGACCAAACCUGCCCUUUUUCGUGUUCACAAAUCCAACACACACCUGGGACGAUAUCUUCACUUUAAUUCGAAUCACCCUACCUGCCACAAGUUUUCUUUGUUCUGAAGGCUUCUCUAGAGAGCUGAAAGAAUUUGCUUGUCUCCGCACUUCCAGGAGGAAGAAAAGAACACAAUAAUCAAUCUGUGACCUUGGAAUGAAUGGUUAUACAGUGUUAUUUGUUCAACCCACCCUCUGCCGACGGAAUGAGAAUGAAAGACUGCGGCUGCUGCACCACCCAGGCAAUGGCAUCGUGUCUCGAUGCCAUACAUUCGAGGCGUCACUGAGACAUCAGCACAUGUGCUACGAGGGGCAGGGGUUGACAUCGCUCACAAGCAACUCUCUACAGUCGGUAGCCUCGUCCAAAAGACCAUGUUCCUGUUGAAAAUGCACAGGGCAUUGUGUACAAGAUUACCUGCACUAAAUGCCCCGCAUGAUAUAUUGGUGAGCCCAAAAGCUUCCUGGGAAGAAUUCAACACAAGAAUGCCCUUCACCACCUAAACUGAGAACGAAAUGCUGUGGCAGAACAUUGCGAGCCUUUUGAUCACCAGAUUAGCCCUAAUGGCACUGUCAUCUUAGAGAGAGAAAACAACCAACUGGCGGCGGCUUCUUGUGGAAACCCGGCACAUCCAGAAGACCCCAGGUAACAUCAGUCGUUUGUCAAGAACACUUCCCACCGUUUACUCUCGAGGUCUACCGAAAGUGGCUGCACUCCUGCUAAAGCGCCAAAAAUUUAUCUAAGCACUGCUACACUUUACACCAUUCCACCCCUGAAGGAGCCAGUCGGGCUUCGAAACUUCUGGUUUUUAAAAUAAAUAUUGGUUGGAGUUUUCCUUCUCUUUAAUUCAUUUGUCCCCAACCAGGCAGAUAUCUUCUAAACGUUUGCUUUCUAUUCAGUGUUUUGAGGCAAAACAUGAAUGGUGCAUUUCAGUCAAUAUUGUACCCAAGUAAGUCUCAGGUGGUACAGGAGUGGUGAAUUAGCAAAUCAUUGUUUAAAGCUACAGCUCAUGUGUGGUCGCAUAUUUUUUCAAAUGAAUCUUAAAUAUUUAGCACAGUGCUCGUCCUAUCUGUUUUUUUGUGCUGUGUCUUCAAUGUGUGCUUUUUCCCGCCUUUAGUGAGGUUGCUGACCCUGUUCCCACUCAGAUCGAAACUUCUUUCAAACGCAGCGAGAGCAUGGAAGUGAGUGCAAAGAAUUCAUGCCUGAGAAAGAAUGGGUGAGGAUGAAGAGCCUCUAUUCUCUGCAGCCCUUUAGGAAGUACGAGUCAGCAUCUGUUCAUGCCUUAAGGUGGCAGUCCCACUCUGGCGGCACGCGCUCCAAAUUUCAGUCAUUGUUUGCGGACGCACUGUACUUUCUGCGCUCAUUGAAUGGAUGGGAAUUAUAUUGCAUUAGAAAACUUACUUUCUGCACUUUACAAUGACACCUAGUAUUAUUGCAGAGCCUGAAGCAUUACGUGACAGCAAUCAAAGCAGUGUGAGUAAUGAACUGCAUUUUUGUGGUACUAGCCUCCAUUGUACUGCAUUCCCGGCGAAACUUUUCAACAUAACAAAAUGAAGUUUGCUGUGUCUUUAGAUGAAACGUUAUACAAGAUUUCUAUGAAGAGAUAUUGCAUGUAAAGCAACUAGAAAUUUAUAUGGGCCCUAAUAA